GUGACUGCGUACCUUUUGUAUAAUGGGUCAGCGACUUAUAUUCUGUAGCAAGGUUAACCGUAUAGGGGAGCCGUAGGGAAACCGAGUCUUAACCGGGCGUUAAGUUGCAGGGUAUAGACCCGAAACCCGGUGAUCUAGCCAUGGGCAGGUUGAAGGUUGGGUAACACUAACUGGAGGACCGAACCGACUAAUGUUGAAAAAUUAGCGGAUGACCUGUGGCUGGGGGUGAAAGGCCAAUCAAACCGGGAGAUAGCUGGUUCUCCCCGAAAGCUAUUUAGGUAGCGCCUCGUGAAUUCAUCUCCGGGGGUAGAGCACUGUUUCGGCUAGGGGGCCAUCCCGGCUUACCAACCCGAUGCAAACUGCGAAUACCGGAGAAUGUUAUCACGGGAGACACACGGCGGGUGCUAACGUCCGUCGUGAAGAGGGAAACAACCCAGACCGCCAGCUAAGGUCCCAAAGUCAUGGUUAAGUGGGAAACGAUGUGGGAAGGCCCAGACAGCCAGGAUGUUGGCUUAGAAGCAGCCAUCAUUUAAAGAAAGCGUAAUAGCUCACUGGUCGAGUCGGCCUGCGCGGAAGAUGUAACGGGGCUAAACCAUGCACCGAAGCUGCGGCAGCGACGCUGAUGCGUUGUUGGGUAGGGGAGCGUUCUGUAAGCCUGCGAAGGUGACCUGUGAGGGUUGCUGGAGGUAUCAGAAGUGCGAAUGCUGACAUAAGUAACGAUAAAGCGGGUGAA
Molecule: ribosomal RNA, 733 nt
Filed under: Salmonella enterica subsp. enterica serovar Heidelberg
Lineage: Bacteria; Pseudomonadati; Pseudomonadota; Gammaproteobacteria; Enterobacterales; Enterobacteriaceae
Description: partial 23S ribosomal RNA
Rfam family: Bacterial large subunit ribosomal RNA
Source: RNAcentral